AUAGUACCUAGCAGAGGAGCUACCAUGAUCUCCAACAUGGUUUCUCCAGGGCGAGGCUGGUCCGUUGCACUCCAGAUGCGCUGACCCCUGCGAUUUCCCCAAAUGCAGAAAUUCAACUGCAUAAUUGGUGGCAGUGGAGGACUGCGUUUGCUCACUCUGCUA
Molecule: small nuclear RNA, 162 nt
Organism: Jaculus jaculus (lesser Egyptian jerboa)
Lineage: Eukaryota; Metazoa; Chordata; Mammalia; Rodentia; Dipodidae
Gene: U1
Rfam family: U1 spliceosomal RNA
About the family: U1 is a small nuclear RNA (snRNA) component of the spliceosome (involved in pre-mRNA splicing). Its 5' end forms complementary base pairs with the 5' splice junction, thus defining the 5' donor site of an intron. There are significant differences in sequence and secondary structure between metazoan and yeast U1 snRNAs, the latter being much longer (568 nucleotides as compared to 164 nucleotides in human).
Source: Ensembl